Molecule: small nuclear RNA, 105 nt
Organism: Vulpes vulpes (red fox)
Lineage: Eukaryota; Metazoa; Chordata; Mammalia; Carnivora; Canidae
Source: Ensembl
AUGCUCACUUGGCAGCACACACACUAAAACUGUAAUGAUACAGAGAAGAUUAGCAUGGCCCCUCACAAGGAUGACACUCAAACUUGUGAAGCAUUCCAUCUUUUA